CUUUUUCCGUUUUGCAGGGUUCGCGAUCGUCGGGAGGUGGACAGCGACAGCGACUUCGAAGAGGAAUCAAAUGUACUGGAUGAGGUCCAGUUGGAUGUGCCACUGCUGCCAGUCAUCCUUGAUGUCCAGGAUGCUGCUAUCAUCCUUGAGGAUGUGCCAGAUGUACCGACUAUCCUUGAGGAGGCCACUGGUAAUUGGCAGUUGAUACCGAUUAGGUUCAGCCCCCUGUACUGUGGGCCUGUUGUGAUCAGA
Molecule: long non-coding RNA, 252 nt
Organism: Oncorhynchus masou masou (cherry salmon)
Lineage: Eukaryota; Metazoa; Chordata; Actinopteri; Salmoniformes; Salmonidae
Exons: 3
Source: RefSeq, a predicted model, not a curated record